This is a long non-coding RNA of Cylas formicarius (sweet potato weevil), 1075 nucleotides long. RefSeq lists it as uncharacterized. The transcript is spliced from 4 exons. The record is from RefSeq and is a predicted model, not a curated record. NCBI's taxonomy places the organism in Eukaryota, Metazoa, Arthropoda, Insecta, Coleoptera, Brentidae.
AAGUGGUUGUGCCACUGAGACUACUUUGGUCCCUUCCCACUAGUAAAUGAAGACGUUCUAGUGGUCACAUCGAACUACCAACUUGGUGUAUAUGGUUUCCUGUCCACUCAAGAUGACGCUGUUUUGGAUAACGCGACUUUCAAGGAUCAACUGCUCGCCAUGAAAUGGACGCAGAAAAACAUGGAAUAUUUAGGUGGGGAUCCGGAAAAGGUGACCAUUUUCGGCCGGAGGAAUGUCUGUCGGGGCAUAUCUCGAAAACAAAAAAUCGGCUGGGUUGUACAGAGCGGCAAUUUGCCAAAGCGGCUGCCCUUUGUCUCAUUUUAUCAUGACCACUCAACCGGAUCCCAGAAAGGGUGCUUACGAUAUUGCUAAAGCCAUAGAUCCGUCCAUUACUGACCAGAAUACCACCUACGAGAUACAAGACUUUCUCCAUAGUCAAUUAACAGAUGUGAUCAAUAAAGCAUUUACCUCUAAUCCAUGGUGCCGCAGUUGGUUCAUGCUGUAGCUAUUUUUUACGACUUGGAUAACGUCGCAUUAUUACCUUCGAACCUUACACCUCAGCUAGGGGCAAACGUGCAGGAAAUUGCGAACAAAAUCAAACUAGCUUACACAGGCGGUGACUCAUUUCUCUUCGAUCUCGAAACAGUUGUUGAGUACACCAGCGAUAACUUGAUCCUAAGGUCAUCUUCCAAGCAAGGCCAACUUCAAUCACACUGGUCUUUUUUUAUCAAUUUUCAUUUUCGGGUCUGCUGCACUUUCUCAUGACGCAAUAGCUUGAUAAUUAAUAUUGAGCGUCUACAUGGUAGGCAUUGGCAGUGUAAUACAAGCAGAAGAUGUAGUCCACCUCGUUAACUCGACGUUGCCCCUGAGCACAGCUGAACUAUUCCAAAUCAGGAACAGAUUAGUGCGACUUUGGCCAACUUCGCGAAGACACUGGAUACUACUCCUGAUGAAUCGGAUCCGCUGAUCAACUUAAAGUGGUCCCAAGUAUCGGGAUCCUUUAUUCCGUACCUGGCAAGAAGGUUAUUGAAAUGGCGGUUUGGAACGACGUCUACUACAAUUAUGGAGAGCAGCC